GGAGAGAUGGGUGAGUGGCUUAAACCGCCUGUUUGCUAAACAGGUGUACGGGAAACCGUACCGGGGGUUCGAAUCCCCCUCCCUCCG
RNAcentral lists this transfer RNA (87 nucleotides) under Vicingaceae bacterium. Its description in RNAcentral is "tRNA-Ser". It matches the Rfam family "tRNA". Rfam says of the family: Transfer RNA (tRNA) molecules are approximately 80 nucleotides in length. Their secondary structure includes four short double-helical elements and three loops (D, anti-codon, and T loops). Lineage: Bacteria; Pseudomonadati; Bacteroidota; Flavobacteriia; Flavobacteriales; Vicingaceae. The record is from RNAcentral.